GGGGGGCCCCGCGGUUGCAACUCCCACAAACCAUCGCGAAUCUUACCCGUACGGUUGCCUCGGCGCUGGCGGUCCGGAAAGGCCCUCGGGUCCUCCCGGAUCCUCGGGUCUCCCGCUCGCGGGAGGCUGCCCGCCGGAGUGCCGAAACUAAACUCUUGAUAUUUUAUGUCUCUCUGAGUAAACUUUUAAAUAAGUCAAAACUUUCAACAACGGAUCUCUUGGUUCUGGCAUCGAUGAAGAACGCAGCGAAAUGCGAUAAGUAAUGUGAAUUGCAGAAUUCAGUGAAUCAUCGAAUCUUUGAACGCACAUUGCGCUCGCCAGUAUUCUGGCGAGCAUGCCUGUUCGAGCGUCAUUUCAACCAUCAAGCUCUGCUUGCGUUGGGGAUCCGCGGCUGCCCGCGGUCCCUCAAAAUCAGUGGCGGGCUCGCUAGUCACACCGAGCGUAGUAACUCUACAUCGCUAUGGUCGUGCGGCGGGUUCUUGCCGUAAAACCCCCCAUUUCUAAGGUUGACCUCGGAUCAGGUAGGAAUACCCGCUGAACUUAAGCAUAUCAAAGGCGGGGAGGAAAUCAU
Molecule: ribosomal RNA, 571 nt
Filed under: Neurospora sitophila
Lineage: Eukaryota; Fungi; Ascomycota; Sordariomycetes; Sordariales; Sordariaceae
Description: eukaryotic LSU rRNA
Rfam family: 5.8S ribosomal RNA (bases 199-352)
Source: RNAcentral